UACGUAGGGUCCGAGCGUUGUCCGGAAUUAUUGGGCGUAAAGGGCUCGUAGGCGGUUCGUCACGUCGGGAGUGAAAACUCGGGGCUUAACCCCGAGCCUGCUUCCGAUACGGGCAGACUAGAGGUAGGCAGGGGAGAGCGGAACUCCUGGUGUAGCGGUGGAAUGCGUAGAUAUCAAGUGGAACACCAGUGGCGAAGGCGAGUCUCUGGACAUUUCCUGACGCUGAGGCACGAAAGCCAGGGGAGCAAACGGG
This 253-nucleotide ribosomal RNA is filed under the name uncultured bacterium. RNAcentral describes it as "partial 16S ribosomal RNA". It matches the Rfam family "Bacterial small subunit ribosomal RNA", at positions 524 to 776 of the family's 1533-position model. The record is from RNAcentral.